AACGAACGCUGGCGGCAUGCCUAACACAUGCAAGUCGAACGAGACCUUCGGGUCUAGUGGCGCACGGGUGCGUAACGCGUGGGAACCUGCCCUUAGGUUCGGAAUAACUCCCCGAAAGGGGUGCUAAUACCGGAUAAUGUCUUCGGACCAAGGAUUUAUCGCCCUUGUAUGGGCCCGCGUUGGAUUAGCUAGUUGGUAGGGUAAACGCCUACCAAGGCGACGAUCCAUAGCUGGUCUGAGAGGAUGAUCAGCCACACUGGGACUGAGACACGGCCCAGACUCCUACGGGAAGCAGCAGUGGGGAAUAUUGGACCAUGGGCGAAAGCCGGAUCCAGCAAUGCCGCGUGAGUGAUGAAGGCCUUAGGGUUGUAAAGCUCUUUUACCCGGGAUGAUAAUGACAGUACCGGGAGAAUAAGCUCGGGCUAACUCCGUG
RNAcentral lists this ribosomal RNA (433 nucleotides) under uncultured bacterium. RNAcentral's name for it is "partial 16S ribosomal RNA". It matches the Rfam family "Bacterial small subunit ribosomal RNA", at positions 29 to 507 of the family's 1533-position model. The record is from RNAcentral.